CACUGCACUAAUAAAUGUGGAAGAAUGCCAGCUCUGUGGAAAUAUUGACAGGUCUGGUGUAAAAUUCAGUUUUUCCAAUACCACUCCAACUAAACAGAAUGAAUGGAACAUUAGACUCUCAGGGCCUGUGGCUGCAGGUACAUCACUCACUGAACACCUUCCCAGCUAUGCAGCUAAGGGGCGAAGGCCGAUGUUCUGCUUAAAAUCACAAGCCUACCAGCACUUCUUCUGCAGCAGGUUCUCUCUGCAUUAUUUUUUGCUGAGAUGAAUUUACCCACCAUGCCAUGCUGACCACCCUUUGAUGAGAGCUGUCCUGCCAUCACCUAGCAGUCUGAGCACAACAAACCAUGCAACAGCGAUACAGAUCCCUAUGACAAAGUUGUUCUCACUCGAGGAUGGUGUUUCAUAUGGUGCAUUUGUUUCCUGGUGAAUCUGCGUGCUCUGCUCCCUCUGCAAUAUUCAUUAACACAGGUCACUUGUACAGUAAAUAUUUAUUUAACUUUAAGAUUUAUAUAGUGUCUUUUCCUACAGCAUCUAGGUGGUAUUUGCAGAAAUUAAAAACAUAAGUUAUAUGAAGCUUUCAAUAAUGUUUUGCAUUAAACUGCUACUGUUGUCAGAAAUAAAUCAGCCAUAUUGUCAUGAAAUGAAAUAAACGUAACAAAACCCAAACAAGCAGAAGUACAAAAUCAAUCAGCCAAAAGCUAACCAAAUAAAUGUGGCUUGCAUGAAUACAAGCAAGAGAGAUUGGCUAUCAGCUGCAUCUCUGAAAUACCUAGACAUGAAUGAAAGCAGGCAUCAUUAAUCUGCGUUGAUUGCUCUUGCUUGCCAUGCAGUGCUUCCUAUCUGACCUGAACACUAGCAGGAAGCCAUGUUGCUAACAGUAUUUGUAGGCAAAUGUGCAUUUGCAGCCGAACCAGCGUAAGAGGUGAGCAAUCAUGAUGACUUCAAGGUUUAGGCAUGUGAAAGAUGAAUAUUUUUCUCCAGCAGCUAAAGGCACCUCAAGGGGCUCCAGCCCUUGCCUCAACCUCCUUGUUUAUUUUCUCCUUUAUCUCUCCGUUCAUUACUCCAUCAGCUGCUAAAGAGCAAUUAAUAGUGCUGCUUUGCCAU
This 1107-nucleotide long non-coding RNA is filed under the name Gallus gallus (chicken). Lineage: Eukaryota; Metazoa; Chordata; Aves; Galliformes; Phasianidae. The record is from RNAcentral.